UCAACAACAACAACAACAACAACAACAAACCCAGUGUAUUCCCACUUUGUGGGGUCUGGGGGGGGUAAGAUGUACGCAGUCCAUACCUCUACCUCUGAUGAAGUAGAAAGGCUGUUUCCGAAAGACCCCCGGCUCAAGUUACGAGAUAUCAAACAAACACAUAGUACAGCACAGAAGCAGAUGACAUAACAUAGAUACUGCAGCCAUAAGGAAUAUAAAACAGAGUAAAGCAGGAAUGCAGGAAUAUAAAGCAGAGGAAAGCACACAGAUUCGUAACAAACAUAGAACACGGAACACGGAACAGAACAUUGAAAUACGGAAUCAUACCAGGAAUACACCCCC
Molecule: long non-coding RNA, 342 nt
Filed under: Capsicum annuum
Lineage: Eukaryota; Viridiplantae; Streptophyta; Magnoliopsida; Solanales; Solanaceae
Description: long non-coding RNA (CANN_LNC009972)
Source: RNAcentral